AUGGGUUCUUUGGAAGAAAGAAUUGCUUCUACUAAAAAGGGAUCUAUAACUUCGAUUCAAGCAGUUUAUGUACCUGCAGACAAUUUGACCGACCCUGCCCCCCUAGUGAACUGA
Molecule: ribosomal RNA, 114 nt
Filed under: Triticum aestivum (bread wheat)
Lineage: Eukaryota; Viridiplantae; Streptophyta; Magnoliopsida; Poales; Poaceae
Description: partial small subunit ribosomal RNA
Source: RNAcentral